AAACGUUGAUGUGGAUAUCUUUGUUGUAACUCCCUCAAUUGCUCCUAUGCUUUAUAUAAAGAUUCUUCCUCUUACUGGCAAAAACUAGCUAUAUCCAUUCUUAAUUU
Molecule: small nucleolar RNA, 107 nt
Organism: Coffea eugenioides
Lineage: Eukaryota; Viridiplantae; Streptophyta; Magnoliopsida; Gentianales; Rubiaceae
Source: RefSeq, a predicted model, not a curated record